AACUCAUGUCUUCCUAACGUUCUAUAUAUUAUGUUACUUAAAAUGAGAAAGGAACAAAGGCAAUUCUGACAUUACUGGGUGCUACAGCUUGGAGUCUGCAUUGCUUUUUCUGAUCUAGUCCUCAUUAUUAUCCGGAUAGCUAAAAAGGACUGGACACUAGGGGCUAUGCUCCAUGUUCUUCUCUUCAGGUGUCAUGCUUCUGCUUCUGAUGACCUCCCCUCUGAAGCCAAAUGGCUACUUCUUUUCUUGUAUCUUUGUAGUUCCAUGGCCAAAAUAUCCCUUGCUGACUCUCUCCUUGCUGAAGUCUCUGUAAGACUAAGAGAUAGAUAGAUGGAUAAGUAGGUUCCUCUUGAGGGAUCCAUGUCCACUCUCUUGUGUAAUCUCUUCCUUCUUUUCCUAAGAAGCUAAUUCUUGACUUCUCUACUACUCAAAAAACCCCUCUUCUUUUAUGGACAUGCUGCACAACUUAAAGAGAAAUAAAAUGUAGCUUCCCAAAGGACCAAGGGUCCCUCUUAGACCUCCAUCAAAAUCUUUUGUCAGGAAAGGAUGACAUUUUUCAGGACAAAUAACUCAUGAGAUGUUGUAUUGUACAUCUGCGAUGCCUCCAAAAACUAGUCAGAGAACACAAGAAGCUAGACAUGCAUUCAUAAGCAUUUAAAGGAACAAGGCUCUGAUUAUAAGCUACAGUGACUCCAAAGCCAGGAGCAUAGGAUGGUCCCCCUUCAGCUUUUAGUGGGGAGGUUGGUGGUUGCAGGGAGUAGGAGGAAAGAGGGAACAGGAAGAGAACAAUUUGAAAGCAAUCGAGAAUGAGGAGUUAUCUCCACAGACUAAGCUCCAAGUACAGAGGAGAGUGAGCAAAUGGGAUUCCGACCCACCUUAGCACCAUCACAAUGCAACUCACUAGUAUCCCCCUGUUCAGUGAAUCAGCCCCUGAUUUAUUCAUAUAUGAUCAGUUCAUCUCCUAAGUACUUCAACUCCAGUCUGCCACAACUACUCCUUUCAUUCAAGGGAUGGAGAAAAAUGCUUCCAUCAUUACCAAUAACCAGCUGUCACCAAGGGACAAAUAUGUCUGAGUCCUUGGAAUAAUAGUACUCUCCAGAACACCAACCUUGCUUCUGUCCUGCCCUCAAGGCCAUCAUUCAGAGAAGCAACUCUUGUGGUAAUAUAAUCUAUCAACUGCCUCUCUGGGUGCUGCAGGCUCCUGUUUCCUCAGAGCUACUGAAGUCCCAGAGAAGAAAGUUCUCAUCACUGAAGCCCUCGGUUCCAUCAAAUGCUUCAACAUUAGAAAUAGUUAUUGUUUUAUCCAUGGAAAUGAUACUAAAGUUGAUUUUUGCCAUCUACGUUUGUACUGUAUCCUAGGACCGCUGAACCCUUCCAUCUGACAUGGAUCUGAAAUUUCUAUAUGGUUUUCUUCUUUUCAAAUGUGAGGUCUGUGAGAGCAGACACUGUCUUGCUUGUUUUGUUUUUUUUUUUUUUGGUAUUCCCAAAGCAUAUAAUAAAUAUAUGCUUAAUAAAUGUUUCUUCA
This 1525-nucleotide long non-coding RNA is filed under the name Monodelphis domestica (gray short-tailed opossum). Its description in RNAcentral is "lncRNA (ENSMODG00000038310.1)". The record is from RNAcentral. Lineage: Eukaryota; Metazoa; Chordata; Mammalia; Didelphimorphia; Didelphidae.